AGUGCAGUGAAUAGAAGACACUUCUCUGCACCCCAAAAGCUCCAUGCUGAUUGCGAGAAGGAAAUGCUGGAUGGAGGGGUUCCUGGAACUACUGUGAGGGUUUCUUUUGAUUUCUCCUGCUUAGAAAUGGUGAGAGAACUUUGGAUGUGGAACGUGGAGGAGGAGGAACACGAAGUGGGGAUCUGCACUUGGGGUGGUCAACACUGCGGAUGCCCAGCAAAGGCACUGCCUGGUCCACCUCCCGGAGGGGUCUCUGCGCCCCAGUCGGCAUCGCAGCUGAUGGUGAAACUUUUGGUGUGGCAGAAGAGUGUCCACAAACUUUGGAAGAUCGCUGCUUAGAGUGAUGAAUGGAGUUGUAUUUUGAAUAAAAUAGCUAAGCAUCCUUUUGUGAGCAAGGAGCAUGAUGGUACUUAGACCUACCAUUUCUCGUUACGGUGGUUAUGGUUACGGUGGGGCUGGUGUGUUUACCUGGAGCCUGAAUGUCCACUGGGACAUGAUACCCACUGGGAUUUUUUUGUGUCAACCUGGUCUCUGAUGUCCACCUGGGGAUUGGGUAUCCACCUAAGGCCUGAUGUUUACCUGGAGCCAGAUGUGCACCUGAGGCCUGAUGUCUAUCUGUGGCCUUAUGUUCACCUGGGGACUGAUGCACACCUGAAGCAUAGGUUUUCACCUGGGGCCUGAUACCCACCUGUAGUGUGGGUGUCAACCUUGGGGCUGAUGUUCAGCUGGCGUCCACUGUCUACCUGGGGCCUGGUGUACACAUGGGGCCUGGGCAUCCACCUGAGACUUGAUGUUUAAUAUGGCCUAGAGUUCUUUGGGGGCCUGUUGUACCCUGGAGCCUGGCGUAAACCUGGAGUCUGGUGUCCCAGCUGGACACCUGGGUCCCAGGUGAUCUUCAGGCCCUAGGUGAAAACUCCAGGCUCUAAGUGGACAACCAGGCCCCAGGCUGAUGUUACUGGGCCAGAUGUCUACCAGCCCCAGGUGAAACUCCAGGCUCCAAGUGGACAACAUGACCCCAGUUCCAGUAGACCUGGAAUCCAAAUCAACACCAGGCCCCAGAUGGACACCCAGGCCUGUGGGACAUCAGACUCCAGAAGGUCAUCUGGCUCGAGUGGAUAUCAAGCCCAGUGGAUACCUGUCCCCAGUGGAUAUCAGGCCCCACUUUGACACCAGUCCCUGGUAGAUACCUAGGCCUCAGGUGGAUAUCCAGUCUCUAGCUAAGCAUCAGCUCCAGGUGGACCCAGGCCCUAGCUGACUGGGACUAGUGUUCAUAUGGGCCACGUGUCCAUCUGGCCUAGUGUCAACUUGUAGCCUGAUGUCAACCUGGGAGCUGUGUUCACCAGAGGACUAAAGUCCUCCUGGUGCCUGAUGUCCAACUUGGGACUCUGUGUCCACCUGGAGACUGAUAUCACUUGGACCAGAUGUCCAACUGGAGCAAGAUGUCCACCUGUAGCUAGAACUUCACCUAAGGCCUGAUGUUCCCCAGGCCUACAGGCCUAUGUAUCUACCUAGGACUUGUGUCCAGGUGGGGCCGAGUUCCAUAUGGGGUCUGGAAUUAACCUGGGACCUGAUGUCCACCUGAGGCCUGGGUGUUCUUCUGGAGACUGAUAUCUAUCUGGGUCCUGGGUGUCCUCCUGUGGUCUGAUGUCCACUUGUAGGCUGUGUCCACCUGGGGCCUGGGUGUCCACCUAGGAACCUGAUGUAUACCUGAAGUCCAGUAUCUACCUGGGUACUGAUGUCUACCAGGAAAGUGAUAUAAACCUGGGGCCUGAUAGCCACCUGGGCCCUGAGUGUCCACAUAUGUUCUGAUUUCCUACGGCCUGAGUGUAGGGUCUGAGUGCCACCUGGGUCCUGAUGUUCACCAGGAACCUAGGUAUUCACUUGGGGCUUGAUGUUCACCUGGGGCCUAAUGUCCAUGUGAGACCUGGUAUUCACCUAGAGCCUGGGCAUCCACCUGGGCAUAGGGAACCACUUGUGGCCUAGUGUUCCCCUGAAGCCUAGGUGUCAACCCAGGGCAUAAUGUCUUCUUGGGGCCUGCUGUCCACCUGCAGACUGGUGUCUGCAUAGGGCCUGGUAUCCAUCUGGGGUCUGGUGUCUGCAUGGGGCCUGGUGUCCACCUGAAGACUGAGUAUAGACCUCAGACCUGAUGUAUGCCUGGGGCCUAUUUAUCCACCUGGGGACUAGCAUUCAUCUGGGGCCUCAUGUCCACUUAAGCCCUGGGUGUCAACCUGGUGCCUAAUGGCCACCAGGGAUCUGUGUACUCACUUGGGGCCUGGUGCUCCCAUAGGGCCUAGGUAUACACCUGGGGAAUGAUGUGCAGGUGGAGGUGGAUGUCUUCCUGGGUGCUGGUGUUCACCUGGGGACAAGGGUCUCCCUGGGGACUGGUGUUUAUCGGGAGCCUCAUAUGCACCUUGAACCUGCCGUCUACCUAGGGCCUGAUGUCCAUGUUAAGGCUGGGUGUCCACCUGGGGCCUGGUUGUCCACUUGGGGCCUAAUGUCCACCUAAGACCUAGUGUUCACCUAGGGCCUGGGUGUCCACCUGGAGCCUGAUGUUCAGCUGGAGAUGCAUCCACCCGAGACCUAGGUAUCCACCCAGGGUAUGGUGUCGAACUGGGGCCUUAUGUCCACCUGGGGACUAGAUAUCUACCCGAGGCUUGAUGUCCACCUGGAGCCCGAUAUCCACCUCAGAGCUGGGUGUCCACCCAGGUUCUGGUAUCCACCCGGAGCCUGGUGUUCAUCUGGGGCCCAGUGCCCACCUGGAACCUGGGUAUCACCAUGGGGCCUGGGUGUCCACUUGGAACGUGAUGUGCACCUGGGACCUGAGUUUCCACCUAGGGCCUGAUGACCACCUGAGACCCAGGUGUCCUCCUGGGGUCUGAUGUCUACCUGAAGCCUAGGUAACCACCUAGGGCAUGGUGUUACCUGUGCCUUGAUUUCCACCUGAGCCUGGUGUACACCUGGGGCCUGGGUGUCCAUCUGAGGCCUGAUGUACACCUCAAGUCCAGUGUCCACUUGUGGCCUGAUGUCAACUUGGAAGCUGAUAUCCACCUGGGGACUGAUGUUCUCCUGGGGCCUGAUAUCCAACUGGGAUCAGAUGUUCACCUAAGGCCUAGAGUUAAUCUGGGGCCUGAUGGUCACCAGGGUCCCAGGUGUCCACCUAGGGCCUAGUGUCCAACUAGGGCCUGAUGUCCACCUGGAGUCUAGUAUCCACCUUGGCCCUGAUGCUACUUGAGGCCUAGGUGUCUUCCUAGAUCCUGAGUCCCCAAUUAGGCCCUGAUGUCCACAUGAGGCCUGGUGUCCUUAUAGGGCCUGAUAUCUACCUAAGGCCUGGGUAUCCUCCUGCAGCCUGAUGCUCACCUGUAGGCUGGUGUCCAUAUGGGGCCUGGGUGUCCACUUGUGAGCUUGAUGUACACCUGGACUCCAGUGUCCCCUUGGUUACUAAUACAUACCAGGAAAAUGGUAUAUACCUGGGGCCUGAUAUACACCUGGAGCCUGUGUGUCCACUUGAGCCCUGAUGUCCACCUGGGGCCUCGUGUUUACCUGGGGCCUAUAUCCACCCACUACCCAAAGUCAAGUUGGGAAAAGGACCCAGCAUAGGUGAGGAGCACAGAACAGGGACCUCAUUCAUAAGAAAAUCUGCUGUAGAAUGGGUGCUCUAAGCUCUUAAAACAGCCUCUGCCUCAGGAAAGACUGUCCAGGGCAUAGGAAGCCCACACACAGGGUGGGAUGACAAGUUUGCAUCUGGCACUGCUGGGAGCCCUGGGGGUCUCUGCCCUUUUAGCCACGUUGUCUCCUGCCUCUUAGGGUGGUGGGAUUCUGGGCUCUGAUUGCAGCAGGUGGAUUCACUUAGCUCUCCUCCCCUUUUAGCAUUACUGUCUUCUGUAAUAAACCUCUCACUUUGAUCUGCCAGGCUGUCAAAUGAUUUGAUUGCCCUCUCUGUUUUGGUCCAAUGGUUCAUCAAUCCAAAUAUCCACAAUAGAAGGACAGAUUUUAGUCUCUUCAUACAGUGGGAUAUUUCACAGCUAUUAAAACAAAAUAAAUGCUUGUAUAUUGAUAGGCAAAGUCAUCCCACAUCAAUAACAUUUAGACACAUUUUAUGAUCCCACAUCUAUAUCUAUACAUAAUGUUUGCCACUGCUUAAACAAAACAACAUCUAAGCUUUAGACUCCAAAUGGAAUUACAGGGGAGUCUUGAUGUCUGUGUUCUGCAGUUCUGCCAUGUUUGAAAUUGUCAAAUAAACAUGGUGCCUUUCCGGUA
This 4257-nucleotide long non-coding RNA is filed under the name Pongo abelii (Sumatran orangutan). RNAcentral's name for it is "lincRNA". The record is from RNAcentral. Lineage: Eukaryota; Metazoa; Chordata; Mammalia; Primates; Hominidae.